Molecule: ribosomal RNA, 585 nt
Filed under: Neostempellina sp. 1 SRM-2010
Lineage: Eukaryota; Metazoa; Arthropoda; Insecta; Diptera; Chironomidae
Description: eukaryotic LSU rRNA
Rfam family: Eukaryotic large subunit ribosomal RNA
Source: RNAcentral
UUCAAUACUACACUUAACACGUAGUGUGCACUUUUCUCUUAGUAAGACGUCGUGAUCCAUUAGAAAUUGAUAGAUGCCAAUCUAUAUUAGGUCAUCAAUGAGCCAAUAUGAAGUUUAUUGGAACAAAUGCCAUAAUCUUUUAACGGUUGUGUAUAUUGUCUAGUAAGCAUAUUGAUACUCGCUAUGACUGUCUGAUGGAUUUUAAUGAUUGUAUUAUUGAUGUUACGGCAUCACUCUUACGAGAGCAUUUGAUACAUAUCUGAUCAACGACGGUUAAAUUUGGGAUACCUUUUGGACCCGUCUUGAAACACGGACCAAGGAGUCUAUCUAGUAUGCGAGUAAAUGAGUAGUUUAUGAAACUUAUUUACGUAAUAAACGUAACUAUUCUAUGGGAUUACGAGAAUGGCUUCUUAUGGAGGUUAUCUCUUCCAUCCCGGGGUAUUUUUAUCAACAUAUACGCAAGUAUAUGGAAAAUAUACCAUGAGCGUACUGGAUACGACCCGAAAGAUGGUGAACUAUGCCUGAUCAGGUCGAAGUCAGGGGAAACCCUGAUGGAGGACCGAAGCAGUUCUGACGUGCAAAUCG